RNAcentral lists this ribosomal RNA (372 nucleotides) under uncultured organism. Its description in RNAcentral is "bacterial SSU rRNA". It matches the Rfam family "Bacterial small subunit ribosomal RNA", at positions 526 to 896 of the family's 1533-position model. The record is from RNAcentral.
CAGAGGUGCCGAGCGUUAGGCGGAAUCACUGGGCUUAAAGCGUGUGUAGGCGGGUUUCUAAGUACCUUGUGAAAUCCCACGGCUCAACCGUGGAACUGCUUGGUAUACUGGGAAUCUCGAGCCACUUAGGGGCUACCGGAACAAAUGGUGGAGCGGUGAAAUGCGUAGAUAUCAUUUGGAACGCCAAUGGUGAAAACAGGUAGCUGGGAGUGUGCUGACGCUGAGACACGAAAGCCAGGGGAGCGAACGGGAUUAGAUACCCCGGUAGUCCUGGCCGUAAACGAUGUCGACUAGAUCGUAGUGCCUCUGACGGUAUUACGGUCGAAGCAAAAGUGCUAAGUCGACCGCCUGGGAAGUACGGUCGCAAGGCUA